GCCAGGUGUGGUGGUGUGCACCUGUAGUCCCAGCUACUCGGGAGGCUGAGGUAGGAGGAUCGCUUCAGCCUGGGAGGUAGAGAUUGCAGUGAGCUGAGACUGUGCCACUGCACUCCAGCCUGAGCAACAGAGACCCUGUCUCAAAAAAAAAAAAAAGGCUGAGGUGGGAGGAUCACCUGAGCCAGGGAAGCUGGAGGCUGCAGUGAGCUGAGAUUGUGCCACUGCACUCCUGCCUGGGUGACAGAGCAAGCUCUUGUCUCA
Molecule: small RNA, 261 nt
Filed under: Nomascus leucogenys (northern white-cheeked gibbon)
Lineage: Eukaryota; Metazoa; Chordata; Mammalia; Primates; Hylobatidae
Description: Metazoan signal recognition particle RNA (ENSNLEG00000034606.1)
Source: RNAcentral